UAGGGAAUCUUCGGCAAUGGACGAAAGUCUGACCGAGCAACGCCGCGUGAGUGAAGAAGGUUUUCGGAUCGUAAAACUCUGUUGUUAGAGAAGAACAAGGACGUUAGUAACUGAACGUCCCCUGACGGUAUCUAACCAGAAAGCCACGGCUAACUACGUGCCAGCAGCCGCGGUAAUACGUAGGUGGCAAGCGUUGUCCGGAUUUAUUGGGCGUAAAGAGAGCGCAGGCGGUUUCUUAAGUCUGAUGUGAAAGCCCCCGGCUCAACCGGGGAGGGUCAUUGGAAGCUGGGAGACUUGAGUGCAGAAGAGGAGAGUGGAAUUCCAUGUGUAGCGGUGAAAUGCGUAGAUAUAUGGAGGAACACCAGUGGCGAAGGCGGCUCUCUGGUCUGUAACUGACGCUGAGGCUCGAAAGCGUGGGGAGCAAACAGG
This 429-nucleotide ribosomal RNA is filed under the name Gemmatimonadota bacterium. RNAcentral's name for it is "Gemmatimonadetes bacterium partial 16S ribosomal RNA". It matches the Rfam family "Bacterial small subunit ribosomal RNA", at positions 355 to 776 of the family's 1533-position model. Lineage: Bacteria; Pseudomonadati; Gemmatimonadota. The record is from RNAcentral.